RNAcentral lists this transfer RNA (90 nucleotides) under Synergistaceae bacterium. RNAcentral's name for it is "tRNA-Ser". It matches the Rfam family "tRNA". From Rfam's summary of the family: Transfer RNA (tRNA) molecules are approximately 80 nucleotides in length. Lineage: Bacteria; Thermotogati; Synergistota; Synergistia; Synergistales; Synergistaceae. The record is from RNAcentral.
GGAGAGGUGGCUGAGUGGUCGAAGGCGCUCGCCUGGAAAGUGAGUGAACGGGUAACCGUUCCAAGGGUUCAAAUCCCUUCCUCUCCGCCA